Molecule: ribosomal RNA, 446 nt
Filed under: uncultured bacterium
Lineage: Bacteria
Description: partial 16S ribosomal RNA
Rfam family: Bacterial small subunit ribosomal RNA
Source: RNAcentral
CUACGGGAGGCUGCAGUCGAGAAUAUUCGACAAUGGGCGAAAGCCUGAUCGAGCGACACCGCGUGCAGGAAGAAGGCCUUCGGGUUGUAAACUGCUUUUCUACGGGAAAAAACUUCGGUUGAUUGUACCGUAGGAAUAAGACGUUGCAAACUUCGUGCCAGCAGCCGCGGUAAUACGAAGACGUCGAGCGUUAUCCGGAUUUAUUGGGCGUAAAGAGCGCGUAGGGGGCUUUGUUAGUCUUUUGUUAAAUACCACUGCUCAACGGUGGAAAUGCAAAAGAUACUGGAAAGCUAGAGGGUGCCAGAGGCUAAUGGAACGCACGGUGUAGGGGUGAAAGCCGUUGAUAUCGUGCGGAACACCAAAGGCGAAGGCAAUUAGCUGGGGCACUCCUGACCCUCAGUGCGCGAAAGCGUGGGUAGCAAAAAGGAUUAGAUACCCUUGUAGUC